GUUUGAUUGUGAUUGUUAUAAUCUGCCUGGAAUUGUGUUGCUGAACUGAAUUUCAUUGAAUUGAUGAUCCUGGAAAUGAUUCCUGUUUGUAUAUUGGUUAUGAUGUGCUCUGAAGGAAAUUGAUGAAUCUGGUUGCUGGAAUAAGUUGGGGGUGAUACUGAUUUGAUGGGAAAUUAUGGGUUGAGUGUAGCCUUAGGUUUUGUGAGAGGGAUGUAUAACUUUCGGAAUUAGAAAAAAAAAAUAAUAGGAUAGUUGAUUAAAUCAAAUAAAAAUACUUGGGACUUGUUGGGAACCUUCUCUGUUGGUAGGAUAGAGAGAACCUAAAAACCA
Molecule: long non-coding RNA, 330 nt
Filed under: Vigna radiata
Lineage: Eukaryota; Viridiplantae; Streptophyta; Magnoliopsida; Fabales; Fabaceae
Description: long non-coding RNA (VRAD_LNC013793)
Source: RNAcentral